Molecule: ribosomal RNA, 96 nt
Filed under: uncultured bacterium
Lineage: Bacteria
Description: partial 16S ribosomal RNA
Source: RNAcentral
CCGCCCGUCACACCAUGGGAGUCAGUUGCUCCAGAAACGGCUGCGCUAACUCGCAAGAGAGGCAGGUCUUUUAAGGAGUGGCUGGUAACUGGGGUG